Molecule: ribosomal RNA, 450 nt
Filed under: uncultured bacterium
Lineage: Bacteria
Description: partial 16S ribosomal RNA
Rfam family: Bacterial small subunit ribosomal RNA
Source: RNAcentral
GUGGGGAAUUUUGGACAAUGGGCGCAAGCCUGAUCCAGCAAUGCCGCGUGCAGGAAGAAGGCCUUCGGGUUGUAAACUGCUUUUGUACGGAACGAAACGGUCCGGGUUAAUACCCUGGGCUAAUGACGGUACCGUAAGAAUAAGCACCGGCUAACUACGUGCCAGCAGCCGCGGUAAUACGUAGGGUGCGAGCGUUAAUCGGAAUUACUGGGCGUAAAGCGUGCGCAGGCGGUGCUGUAAGACAGAUGUGAAAUCCCCGGGCUCAACGUGGGAACUGCAGUUGGGACUGCAUCGCUGGAGUGCGGCAGAGGGGGAUGGAAUUCCGCGUGUAGCAGUGAAAUGCGUAGAUAUGCGGAGGAACACCGAUGGCGAAGGCAAUCCCCUGGGCCUGCACUGACGCUCAUGCACGAAAGCGUGGGGAGCAAACAGGAUUAGAAACCCGGGUAGUCC